GGAGAAGUGGCCGAGUUGGCUGAAGGCGCACGCCUGCUAAGCGUGUAUACGGUGUAGAGCCGUAUCGAGGGUUCAAAUCCCUCCUUCUCCGCCA
RNAcentral lists this transfer RNA (94 nucleotides) under Thermodesulfobacteriota bacterium. RNAcentral's name for it is "tRNA-Ser". It matches the Rfam family "tRNA". From Rfam's summary of the family: Transfer RNA (tRNA) molecules are approximately 80 nucleotides in length. RNAcentral also lists the same sequence under 1 other name. The record is from RNAcentral. Lineage: Bacteria; Pseudomonadati; Thermodesulfobacteriota.